GCGCUAAUAGCAUAUUUGAAAACUAAACGCUAUGCUAUGCAUAUUUCACUCGCUAUGGCGAUAUUCAUGCUAAAUACGGCAAUUUCGCGCUAUAGCGCGUAUCGACGCUAUUUUUUCGACACGGCGCUAUUUUUCUCAGACGAAUUUUUCAUCAGCCCACUAUUCUUUUGGGCUUUCCGGCCGAGUAACCCUAACCAGCGGCGACCAAACCUAUAGCGACGAC
RNAcentral lists this long non-coding RNA (223 nucleotides) under Hordeum vulgare. Its description in RNAcentral is "long non-coding RNA (HVUL_LNC013442)". The record is from RNAcentral. Lineage: Eukaryota; Viridiplantae; Streptophyta; Magnoliopsida; Poales; Poaceae.